GUUUCUUUUUGUUCGUCUAUGUGAUUUAUGAUUCUUCUCACCUCUCAGGGCCUUGAAUUUCGUCUAGAUUUCAAUUUUUAGAAACCCUGAUAAUUUCCCCAGCUUUUGAGGUAAAACUGCUAUUCGUUCUUAGGGUUUCUUAAAAGGGAAAUGCUAUGAACUCGUGUUUAUCUUUCAGCAGAACCAAACAAGAAUUUUUAGCCGGCA
This 207-nucleotide unclassified non-coding RNA is filed under the name Hevea brasiliensis (rubber tree). The record is from RNAcentral. Lineage: Eukaryota; Viridiplantae; Streptophyta; Magnoliopsida; Malpighiales; Euphorbiaceae.